UUUCGUUGUUCGGUAAUUUUUUUACCGAAUUCGAUCGGUAACCACAUAUUUUUUACAAAAUUUCUGUAAAAUUUGGAAUUUUACAGUUGUACUGUAAAACCUCUACCGAACGUAUUGUAAUUUGUUGAAAAUUUUGGCAGGAGCUGUCAAAAAAUUACCGUACAUACUGUAAACUAAUCCACGUACCAAAGUCGGUAAUCGAAUACCGAACAAAGCUGUAAUUCUCUCUGUAGAUUACCGAAAUACUGUGAAAUUGUUUUGACAUCCAUGUCAUUUAAAAAUAAUUUCGUAGCUUGCAGCACCGAAUGGAAAAUUACAAGAUUUCCAAGAAUGUUCCAAAAAAGGGAUGGCGUGUGUCUGAGAAAAAUGCCUUUAUAAUUCUUAGCAUUACAGAAAUCCUACAAUCGGGAUUUAAAAGAAUAAUAGGACUCGGAGCAAUACUAACAUCUGCUCUGUAAAAACGAUGCACAUCCGCUGAAUUACAUAUAGCAUGUGAUGCAGUAACUUUUCCUCGUUCUU
This is a long non-coding RNA of Armigeres subalbatus, 519 nucleotides long. RefSeq lists it as uncharacterized. The record is from RefSeq and is a predicted model, not a curated record. The transcript has 3 exons. NCBI's taxonomy places the organism in Eukaryota, Metazoa, Arthropoda, Insecta, Diptera, Culicidae.